GACAUAAAUUUCUGCUCUAAUGGGUGUUCCAGGCCAAGCUGCGCCUGAUGAAACUUCCACUUUCACAUUCGUCAUGUAGAAGUGUUUGGUUCCCUAGGAAAAGAAAGCUCUCUCUCCCUUACACUGGUGACGGAGUCUGCACACAUUGUCCUCCCCUGUCCGCUGCAGUGCGGCUUGGGAGUCAGGCAGAGCGCUGGGGUGGCGGUGUUCCUUGAUCGCUCCCUUCCCCAAGUUCCUGGAGGCUCUGCCUGGAUCAGAUGUUAACCAGGCCCGUGUGAAGGAUCUCAUGGAAUGGAAUGGCCGUAAGCCCCAGGACCCACAAACCCUGUGUCCACUCUGCAGUCACCAGGGGAUCCUGCACAGUGGGAAACACAUUGAGACCGAGGACAGGUGCCCAGCGAGCCGUGUCCAACAUGCAUCUUGUACUUGCCCCACAGUCUCCACAGGACAGUUCUAUUUGUGAAAAAAAUAUGAAUUUCUGUGCAUCUAAGUGUCUCUAAAAAUUAUAUAUCUUUUGUCUCCUAUCCAUCUGUACUCUUUAUCUCCCCAAACUCUUUUAAAAAUGAUAUUUAUUAUUUUUCCCUAUUAAAAAAAGCAUAGAUUCUUUUUCAUAGGAAGUUUGAAAAAUAAUUAGAAAUAUAAUGAUGAAAAAUUCUCAGGUCAAUAGCAGCAACUACUGCUAACAUAUAUAAAAUUAGCGUUUCUUCCAAUAUAGACCCCAAAAUUGCCCUUUGCACUGAUGGUAUAGGUGCUGGAAAAAAGUCUUCUAAAUUUAGGUUCUGUUUGGUUUCAGACCAUGGAGAGAGGGGAAAAAAUAAGGAUGUUGGUAGACUUAGCAGCAGCUGGGAGCUCAUUGCUUUUUCGUUAUGUAAAUAGCUCAUGUUUCUCUGAAUAACCAAUUUGUUGUCAAAUGGAGGACAUGGGCACUCCUACUCACCUACUGUGAGUGCCCUGGCUUGACAAUGCAUUUCUAAAGACCAAAAAACAUGCAUAACCUUCCAGUAACUUUAGAUUAUGUACAUAAUGGUUAAGUAUAUAACUGUAUAUGAUAUAAUACUCCCAGCCAGUAAAAAAUACGUAAAUAUUAAAAUAAAAACCUUUGUAAUAUAGUAAAUGAAAAAAGG
Molecule: long non-coding RNA, 1124 nt
Filed under: Ursus maritimus (polar bear)
Lineage: Eukaryota; Metazoa; Chordata; Mammalia; Carnivora; Ursidae
Description: lncRNA (ENSUMAG00000009237.1)
Source: RNAcentral